CCUUGAAGAUCGGAGUGCUUGCACUCUGUGAAACAAGAUACAGGCUAGCGGCGGACGGGUGAGUAACACGUGGGUAACCUGCCCAAGAGAUCGGGAUAACACCUGGAAACAGAUGCUAAUACCGGAUAACAACAGAUGAUGCCUAUCAACUGUUUAAAAGAUGGUUCUGCUAUCACUCUUGGAUGGACCUGCGGUGCAUUAGCUAGUUGGUAGGGUAACGGCCUACCAAGGCGAUGAUGCAUAGCCGAGUUGAGAGACUGAUCGGCCACAUUGGGACUGAGACACGGCCCAAACUCCUACGGGAGGCAGCAGUAGGGAAUCUUCCACAAUGGACGCAAGUCUGAUGGAGCAACGCCGCGUGAGUGAAGAAGGGCUUCGGCUCGUAAAGCUCUGUUGUUGGUGAAGAAGGACAGGGGUAGUAACUGACCUUUGUUUGACGGUAAUCAAUUAGAAAGUCACGGCUAACUACGUGCCAGCAGCCGCGGUAAUACGUAGGUGGCAAGCGUUGUCCGGAUUUAUUGGGCGUAAAGCGAGUGCAGGCGGCUCGAUAAGUCUGAUGUGAAAGCCUUCGGCUCAACCGGAGAAUUGCAUCAGAAACUGUCGAGCUUGAGUACAGAAGAGGAGAGUGGAACUCCAUGUGUAGCGGUGAAAUGCGUAGAUAUAUGGAAGAACACCGGUGGCGAAAGCGGCUCUCUGGUCUGUUACUGA
RNAcentral lists this ribosomal RNA (708 nucleotides) under uncultured bacterium. RNAcentral's name for it is "bacterial SSU rRNA". It matches the Rfam family "Bacterial small subunit ribosomal RNA", at positions 62 to 743 of the family's 1533-position model. The record is from RNAcentral.